CAAAGCAAAUCAAUAGCAGAACGGUUCCCUCACAGGGAAAUUUCAAUCAUCCCUGUAAACCACUGAAACUGAUUACGUGGGAAUAUGGCAUAGGUGGUGGUUGGUCAUCCGUUUCUUUCAAUGACUCUGUUCUUGGCAAAGGCUGAACGGCAAAUAUUAAUAAAUAAACUAAGUUUAUGGCUAUUUGUCUUAUUGAUAUUCUUUUGUACACUCCGUCAAACGUUCAUAUAUUUGCUCUACCUCUAACAUAGACUUCCAGCGAAAACAAGAAAAUCUCAUAGCAAAAACCAUGUGUUGCUGCUGCUGCGAUGAUGAUUGUAAAUGCAGGCCUUUAGGCUUUCUCUUAGGCCUACCCUUUGCUCUCCUAUCUGUCCUCCUCUCUAUCAUCGGUGUACUUAUAUGGAUUGUUGGACUGGUGUUGUCUUGCGUAUGCCCUUGCUGCUUCUGUGUGACCAUCAUAGUUGAAUUCGCACUGGGGUUGAUCAAGGCUCCCAUCCUGGUCAUGAAGUGGUUCACCUCAAAGAUUCCUUGCUAGGGUUCUUGCGUAUAGAUGUUAUCGAUUUCUGUUUUACAGUAUAUGUGAUUCCCUUCAUUGCUGAUUAGCACUGGUUGUAGUUUGACUUUUUAUUUGGACAUGGGAGCAGGAUGAUUGUAUUUUCUGUCCUCUCUUGAUGAUUCCUCCGUUUCCCUUCACCUUACGGCUUCUGUUAAAAUUGAAUGCUCCUUCCUUUGAUUAUUUGACAUUUGUUUAGAUAUCAAGUAUUGCUAUUUUUGUUAUAUACUUUAUUUCA
This is a long non-coding RNA of Populus euphratica (Euphrates poplar), 791 nucleotides long. RefSeq lists it as uncharacterized. NCBI's taxonomy places the organism in Eukaryota, Viridiplantae, Streptophyta, Magnoliopsida, Malpighiales, Salicaceae. The record is from RefSeq and is a predicted model, not a curated record. The transcript is spliced from 2 exons.